ACUUGAAUAGCUUAUAAUUUAGAGCACAACACUGAAGAUGUUGAUGAGGUAUUUAUUACCUUUAAGUA
RNAcentral lists this transfer RNA (68 nucleotides) under Crepititermes verruculosus. Its description in RNAcentral is "tRNA-Phe". It matches the Rfam family "tRNA". From Rfam's summary of the family: Transfer RNA (tRNA) molecules are approximately 80 nucleotides in length. Their secondary structure includes four short double-helical elements and three loops (D, anti-codon, and T loops). Further hydrogen bonds mediate the characteristic L-shaped molecular structure. tRNAs have two regions of fundamental functional importance: the anti-codon, which is responsible for specific mRNA codon recognition, and the 3' end, to which the tRNAs corresponding amino acid is attached (by aminoacyl-tRNA synthetases). tRNAs cope with the degeneracy of the genetic code in two manners: having more than one tRNA (with a specific anti-codon) for a particular amino acid; and 'wobble' base-pairing, i.e. permitting non-standard base-pairing at the 3rd anti-codon position. The record is from RNAcentral. Lineage: Eukaryota; Metazoa; Arthropoda; Insecta; Blattodea; Termitidae.